CAUCAAAGUGACAAUCCGCAAUUUAGCGGUGAAUGAGAUCGCCUGACAAGGUUUCUACAUAUGCGGAUUAUAGGUGGAGGUUCAUAUCCAACCUAAACUUAGUCAUCUCAAAUGACCAAUCAUUGUACGCAAUGGCAAUGCGAUUUGGCAUCUAGAAAUAACAUCUAGCCGAGCUCAAGGAUUGGAGAUCCGUUUCAAUCUUGCCGAGCUCAAGGAUUGCAAUUUCGUGUUAAUCCUGGUACACAGUCACGAGCUGUAGUACAACAAAAUUCAAUGAUGGUGGGUCGUAGAUGAAUAGUAAAGCUGCAUGCAAAUAUUGCAUAGCCCCAAGACGCAAUAGAAAGAGUGGUGCACAUCAAUAAUGUUCGAGCGACAAGCUAAAGUUGCUUGGUCAUAGCCUCGGUGAGACCGUAUUGCGUGUGAACAUGGGGCACAGGACACUUCAACUUACAUCCCGAUAAACUUCUUUAAAAAAUGGGUAGUGAGCCCGUAGAAGUAUAAGCAGCAUAAGCAGUAGAUAAUAGUGUAACACGUGACCAGUGUGUUAACACUUCAACCAACACCAUAAAGCAUAAAAAGUUGUCCGCAAAUUGGUUGUAUCUAUCUACAUAGUUUGAUGUAAGAAUAGAAUGUUCACUUUUGUGUUAUUUAGCGUAGGAGGGUCUCACUCCUUAUUUAGCUAAAGAAUAGGCUUUCAAAACGAGCAAUGAGCAUUGCAGGGGGCCAAUGCGACAUCGAGGAAAGGCCGGUGCACCUCAAUUGCUUGAGGAAUUGACCGGACGACAUCCAGGAAGUUGGAGUCGUAUUCGGGUGACCUCAAUGUCCCCCGGGUCACCACCAUGCUUCAUGGUGAUGCUAGAUCUCGAAUGUCUUCGUUUUGAGCGGAAGAAUGGAUGUCCAUGAGAUUUUCUCAAAAUUUGGACCAUUAUAUCUCUUCUAGGUUGACCAAUUUGGUCAAACCAAAGCCUAUAUGAGUCGGUGUCCCAAAUAUCAUAUAUGGCGACAACAUGGGAUUCGAUAUUCGAAUCGUAGUGACAUACAGUUCACUAGAUUGACUCAUGAAUUUCUCCAAGAUGCGCUUCAGUUCGCAUUCAUGAGGAGGUAUACACAAAAGAAUUCUUGUUCAUUCUCACAAUGUGUUUUCAAAUGAAAACCAUUAGCAGGAAUGUCUUUAAAACUUAACAUGGUUCCUUAGAAUGUUGUGGAUAGUUCCGCUAUCUGCGAAGCACUCAAUGUCUCUAUGAG
This 1245-nucleotide long non-coding RNA is filed under the name Fragaria vesca (wild strawberry). RNAcentral's name for it is "long non-coding RNA (FVES_LNC004051)". The record is from RNAcentral. Lineage: Eukaryota; Viridiplantae; Streptophyta; Magnoliopsida; Rosales; Rosaceae.